CCAAACAUCUAGCUCACCUCUCCCCCACCACCCACACACCACUAAAUAAAACAUUUUUAUUUUAUAGUAACGGAGAUUAAAAAAUUCCUAAACGCUUUAGAUAAAGUACCGCAGGGAAUGAUGAAAUAACAAUGAAAUAAUUUCAAGCCACUCAUAGCAAAGCCCACCCCUUGUACCUUUUGCAUCAUGGUCAAGCCAGUUCAACCAAACGAAAAGAUACCUUAAGUUUGUCCCCCCGAAACUGGGUGAGCUACUCAAGAAUAGUCUAUAGGACCAACCCGUCCCUGUUGCAAAAGGGUGGGAAAAUUCUUUAGUAGCAGUGAAAAGCUAAUCGGACCCAGAGAUAGCUGGUUGCCCAAGAAAAGAAUAUUAGUUCUACCUUAAGCUUAAACAUUAACCAAAACAAAAUAUUAAACUUAAGAGCUGCUCAAAUAAGGCACAGCUUAUUUGAUCUAGGACACAACCUCUUACACAGGGUAAAUUUAAAUGACCCAUAAGUGGGCCUAAAAUCAGCCUAAAGGGCGUUAAAGCCUUCCAACACCUUAUUAUUAAAUACCAUUUAUUUUAACCAACCCUUCAUCCCUAUUGGGCAACUCCAUACAUUUAUGGAAGAUAUCAUGCUUGAACUAGUAAUAAGAAUAAAAAUUCUCCUAGUACCAGCAUAUGCCAUAACGGAUAAACCAACGGCAUUUAACAUCAAUAAUACAUCUACAAUAACUUAAAAACCUGUAUAAUUAUGAUGUUAACCUUACACAAGAGUACUCAAGGAAAGAUUAAAAGGAGAGAAGGAACUCGGCAAAUUUAACCCCGCCUGUUACCAAAAACAUCGCCUCUUGUUUAAAUAUAAGAGGUCCAGCCUGCCCAGUGAUUAUUUUAACGGCCGCGGUACCCUAACCGUGCAAAGGUAGCACAAUUACUUGUCCUUUAAAUGGGGACUAGAAUGAAUGACACCACGAGGGUUACACUGUCUCCUUCUCCCAAUCAAUGAAACUGACCUCCCCGUGAAAAGGCGGGAAUCAAAAUAUUAGACGAGAAGACCCCAUGGAGCUUCAGACAUCGAGUAAACUAGGCACUCACCCCACUAAGCCCUAAAUUAUACCUCUAAGUCUUCGGUUGGGGCGACCAUGGAGUAAAACCCAACCUCCACGCCGAACGGACCUUUCCUUAUCUAAGAACUACACCUCUAAGAAACAGAAUACUGACGCCCACUGAUCCGGACUCCGAUCAACGAACCAAGUUACCCUGAGGAUACAGCGC
RNAcentral lists this ribosomal RNA (1257 nucleotides) under Cornufer acrochordus (Bougainville wrinkled ground frog). Its description in RNAcentral is "Platymantis acrochordus (Bougainville wrinkled ground frog) partial 16S ribosomal RNA". It matches the Rfam family "Bacterial large subunit ribosomal RNA", at positions 269 to 2482 of the family's 2925-position model. Lineage: Eukaryota; Metazoa; Chordata; Amphibia; Anura; Ceratobatrachidae. The record is from RNAcentral.